This 250-nucleotide unclassified non-coding RNA is filed under the name Leptosphaeria slovacica. RNAcentral's name for it is "partial internal transcribed spacer region". The stretch from base 1 to 46 matches the Rfam family "Eukaryotic small subunit ribosomal RNA", at positions 1786 to 1831 of the family's 1831-position model. The record is from RNAcentral. Lineage: Eukaryota; Fungi; Ascomycota; Dothideomycetes; Pleosporales; Leptosphaeriaceae.
AAGUCGUAACAAGGUUUCCGUAGGUGAACCUGCGGAAGGAUCAUUACUAUUACUUCAACGGGUGGGUUUCAGCUGUUCCUUGGUUCAGCUGCCUCCUACUUGCUUGUCGUUACCCAUGCCUUUUGCGUACAAUUUGUUUUCCCAGCCGGGCAUAUUGCCCCUAUGGGAUAUCAAUUCACCCAUGUAUUUGCAGUCAAUGUCUGAAAAAUAAUAAUAAUUACAACUUUUAACAACGGAUCUCUUGGUUCUG